RNAcentral lists this transfer RNA (72 nucleotides) under Melanozosteria sp. Cairns, Australia. RNAcentral describes it as "tRNA-Tyr". Lineage: Eukaryota; Metazoa; Arthropoda; Insecta; Blattodea; Blattidae. The record is from RNAcentral.
AGUAGAAUGUCUGAGGUAAUGAGGUGAUAGAUUGUAAAUCUAUUAAGGGGUAGUAAUAAUUCCCUUCUACUA